Molecule: ribosomal RNA, 252 nt
Filed under: uncultured bacterium
Lineage: Bacteria
Description: partial 16S ribosomal RNA
Rfam family: Bacterial small subunit ribosomal RNA
Source: RNAcentral
GACGUAGGGCGCGAGCGUUGUCCGGAUUUAUUGGGCGUAAAGAGCUCGUAGGCGGCUUGUCGCGUCGAAUGUGAAAACUCGGGGCUCAACCCCGAGCCUGCAGUCGAUACGGGCAGACUAGAGUGCUGUAGGGGAGACUGGAAUUCCUGGUGUAGCGGUGAAAUGCGCAGAUAUCGGAAGGAACACCAGUGGCGAAAGCGGCUUCCUGGUCCAGCACCGACGUCAGGCACGAAAGCGUGGGGAGCAAACAGG